RNAcentral lists this ribosomal RNA (461 nucleotides) under uncultured bacterium. RNAcentral describes it as "bacterial SSU rRNA". It matches the Rfam family "Bacterial small subunit ribosomal RNA", at positions 354 to 796 of the family's 1533-position model. The record is from RNAcentral.
GUGGGGAAUCUUGCGCAAUGGACGAAAGUCUGACGCAGCGACGCCGCGUGAGGGAGGAAGCUCUUCGGGGUGUAAACCUCUGUUGCCCGGGACGAAUGUGCAGAUUUAUCUGCAUUGACGGUACCGGGUGAGGAAGCGCCGGCUAACUCUGUGCCAGCAGCCGCGGUAAUACAGAGGGCGCGAGCGUUGUCCGGAAUCACUGGGCGUAAAGGGCGCGUAGGUGGCACGAUAAGGCCGUGGUGAAAGUUCGGGGCUCAACCCUGAAUCUGCCGCGGCGACUGUCGAGCUUGGGCACCGUAGAGGCAGAUGGAAUUCCGGGUGUAGCGGUGGAAUGCGUAGAGAUCCGGAAGAACACCGGUGGCGAAGGCGGUCUGCUGGGCGGUGGGGGCGCAAGCUCCCAAUAGCCGACACUGAGGCGCGACAGCGUGGGGAGCAAACAGGAUUAGAUACCCGAGUAGUCC